Molecule: ribosomal RNA, 274 nt
Filed under: uncultured bacterium
Lineage: Bacteria
Description: partial 16S ribosomal RNA
Rfam family: Bacterial small subunit ribosomal RNA
Source: RNAcentral
AUACAGAGGGUGCAAGCGUUAAUUGGAAUUACUGGGCGUAAAGCGCGCGUAGGCGGCUUGGUCAGUCGGAUGUGAAAGCCCCGGGCUCAACCUGGGAACUGCAUUCGAUACUGCCAGGCUAGAGUAUGGUAGAGGGUAGUAGAAUUCCUGGUGUAGCGGUGAAAUGCGUAGAUAUCAGGAGGAAUACCAGUGGCGAAGGCGGCUACCUGGACCAAUACUGACGCUGAGGUGCGAAAGCGUGGGGAGCAAACAGGAUUAGAAACCCUAGUAGUCC